CAAUGUUAAUGUCCCCAUAGCUUCCGCGGCCACUGCUCAGCCGGUAUCUGAUGCUUGGUUGGUUGGCUGCAUGCACACUUUAGCGAGUUUGGUUAGGUACAUACGGUUUUGUGCAAUGAAGCAUAAUUUUAACUAGAUCACAUAUUUGCACAGCGAAAAGUUGAGUAGUGCUCAUUAGACGGGAUUAGUUGAUCAAGUGGCAAGUAGUCAAGGGUGUAAAAAUUAGAAUCAAUUUCAAAGUAUGAAAUCCAUCUCGUUAUAUCUCAUCCGUGAGUUUGGUUGUUACGUAAAAGGGAAAAUUUUUAAGUGUUAGCGGGGGCACAGAUUCGAUUAGUUACGUAGUUGUUUGGUCAGUGAAAGUGAAAGGUGUUGAUUAAAUUAGGUCAGAACUUUCUCUUCAUGGAUGGCGUAGACGGGACACACUUAGAAAUUGGUGGCAGAUUUUUAGACAUCACUGUAAUUGCUAGUUUGGGUUUAUGGUUAUAUAUUUUAAUAUCAAAAGUAGUAAACUUUACCUUAAUUUACAUUAUUAGUACUUUGAUUUUGGUUUUGUAAAUAAAAUUAAUUCGUUUAUAGAUUUAUAAUUUGUAGAAAUGAUAGUUGUAUAGUUUACAAGCUGAAAUAAUUUUUAUUAUCAAAAACAGAGUUAAAUAAAAUUUAUAGAUUGGGUUUCGAUAGUUGGGUAAUAAUUAAGGGAUUGCCAAUUCUAAUAAUUAUAAUUAUUUUAAAAAUUGGGACUAUAAUUAUUAUUCUCCCAAUUUUUAAAUUCCGUACUAUUGUUAUUAAAGUAUUUUAAUUAACUAGCUGAAUUUUGGAACAAAUUACAACUAUAUAUUAAAAACAUACAAAAUUGCACAUUAACUUUGUCCCAUGUGUCAAUAAUUUGCUUGAUUAAAUAAAACUACAGGAUUCAUAAAACCCAGGUAUUUUCAAAAAGAAUGAAUGUCCUAUCUUCGCAAUGAAUAUCUAGUAGCAAAACUAUAAUAUAUUCUCACUUCUUACUUAUUGUUAACUUUACUGUUGAUUGAUUGAUCUUGAAACCAAAAUUUCCGGAAAAUCGUAUCCCCUCUUUUUUUUAAGAGUGCAUAUAUAACUAACGAAUUACAGACCAGAUUGUGAGCCGAUGAUGGCAUGGUCUCGUCGUCAUGUACAAGAUUUGUGUCGACGUGUCAUGUCCUUCUAUACUGAUCGGGGGACCUUUCUGCGGUCUCGGUAAAUCUUGUUCCACUCGAGUGACCAAAACCAGUCGACUAUAUAGUUGAACGGUUCUUGGCUUCAAUAGGCUGAUGAAUGGGGUGGGUUUUUUGUAGCUGUGGAGGUGAAUACCAAAGUGGAAAAAAUCGGUGUGUGGACAGGUGUGGAGAAAGUGGCGGUGGUGGAAUUCUCCGAGUGAAAAAUGUGAAUGUCAUGGAAUAGCAGGCUUCCACGAUUUUCUUUUUUUCGAAUGAGCAGAUAUUUAAUUACGUGAAAAUUACAUCAGUGUUUAGAUAUUUCUGGAGCGAAAUUGUAUCGAAAUUUGCUAGGGGGCGGUAUUCGAAUUUUGAAAGUGUCAAAUUCGUCUUAUGAAGGAAAAAGUAUUUUCCGAAAGCUUGUGACCAUCAGAUAAAUUUACAUCCAUGAGUUCCGAAAAAAUGUCUCUUAAGUCAAAUUUGUUGUUGGAAAUUUUUGCAAGAAAAUGUGAAUUUUCUCAAAAAUUAUUGUUACCAUUCAGAAAUAAAUCGUUACCAACUUGGCAACUCCUACGCAGUCCAUGAUACAUAGAUAAUUCCGUCAACUUAGUUUUAGUGCUGUCCAACCUUGCAAAAAUUCAAUUCAACUUUCUCCCUGUCACUUCCGUGUUUAUUUUCAACUCAAAAUUUGGAUUUAUGACGAAAAGUUGUAAAAGUGGGAGAGAGAAAGAAAGGUAACAGAGCGGAUAUUGGUUGAGGCGAGGCGAAAGAAAUUGUCACUUUCUUCCACUUUCCUAUUUUGCAAUCUGUCCCUUCCAGAGAGACCAGACCAGAGUACGUUUUGUUGUUUUGUGUUGUACUUUGAGAAAAGUUUUGUCCUUUUAGUUUUAUCUCUCAUUCUGUGAAAAUAGAGACAGGAGAUGAGUGCUCGUAUUAAGUGUGGCGUGGUGUGGGUUCGAGGAGAAGGCUGUGGCAGGGGCGGAAAUAGGAAGGGCCUUGUGCAACAAAGGGGAAAAAUUAAUGAAAAAUACAAUUUUGAACAUUUUUUUGCGGACUUUUCAAUUAUUCAAAUUUAUUACGAAGUGAUUUUUAAAACAAUUACUCAAUCAGUUAUAAGUCUACCAUAUUUUCCGUAUUAAAGACAUUACGAAAAUGGGAUAGACACGCCAAAACAUCUGGAAUUAAAUAUAAUUUUUUGCUUGUUUUAUGACAAAAAUAAAUUCUGGCUUAUAAAUUAUUCAAUUGAUUGAAUUUACUUGAUCUUGUAUGUUGGUUGAACUUCUUAAAAUUUUAUAAAAUAUUCUGCAUCAAAUCCUUUCAUUUUUAUCUAAUUUAAUAAAAUUUUCUCGUUUGAUAAACCUUUCACCAAUAUUUCAUAACUUUUUUUUAAAAUCUUUAAUCUUUUUAUCCUAAGCUAAAACCAAUGAAAUUCCCCGAGUAAAAAUGUGUGUGGCAGAUUGUACAUAAUUCGACAAAACCAUUAUGCUUAAUAUUUUACGAAUAAAAUUGUCUGGCGGUUUAUGCAGAAAGCAGGUAGGCGGCUUUGUCGAAAAAAAUAUGCAUAGAGGUCCAUGACGUUUUAUGCAUGGCAUAUAAGCCCAAAAAAAUAUGCAUAAAUUUGUUCCCCUUUUAUGAGUAAAAUUUUUGCCAUAAUUCUUAAUGCUAAACAAUUGUGUCGAAAAACAUUAUUUUUUCUACAAGGUUCUACUUUAUUCCAACUCUACAUUAUUCAUCAUUCGUGUUAACGAGCGUAGUUCACCACCAACAUCAUACAAGCAUAUAAAUUUCCAGAGAUCAAUUUUAUCCAUUGGCAAUAUUCUAAGAUUGUUGCUCACGGCCUGAACUUGAAAAGAAUCCAGUGAUAGCUUCGAGGGUAUUGUGCUGCACUUCUUCAAAAACAUUAAUGGGUGUAUACAUUCACUAAGUAAUAUUAUCUUAUAUAUAACAAAAAACUGGUCACCACUUCGAAUUACUGAAUUAACCCCUUUUUUGGUAUCCCUUUGAGCCGUGUUAAAAUACUUUUCUGCUAUUAAACAUGAGCUAUACGAAAUUCCUUGUGUUUCUAAAUAUCCCAAUCGCGACAUUUUAUUUCUUUCAUUAUUACUAAAGAUAUACAAUUUUCCAGUCCCAAACACAGUGCAACAACCAGCGGUGAAUGACUUCUUGAAAUGCUUGAUAUUUUCUGUGAACGACAAGUGAAGCGAUUUUGCUUCCGAAUUUCUAAAGCUACAUUCAGCCGUCGAGAGCAAACGCUGAGUAACCACUAUUCGUUUCACGAUUUGCAUUCCGACUUGUCUUGUUCCGCAGAAACUAUUAGUCAGAACACCGUUGAAGUUUUCAAAUUGAAACAGCGAGUAACUCCAAAGCGGACCCCAAUUUUGUACACAUUCCGCUGCAUGAAGCAACAAAUGGGCAUUAAACGAGCAAAAUCGGUCGCCAUACAAAUCAGGGAUCGAAAAGCAAAAUUUUUUGAGCAACUUCUUAGGUAUUUCGGUAUCGGUCACAAUAUCUUGGCAAAGAAGAUAUACUGCGUUCACCAGUUUUGAAAAAUGUUUGAGAUAACAACUUGGCAGGAUUCCUUUCAAUAAAUAGGUAGCCGUUAGCAUCCAUAAUUUCCACUCACUUGCUUUCCAAUAUUUCAUUUCACUUGUCUCCCGAAGAUGCCUUCUACAGUUUUGGGGAAAUUUUAGGGACAAGAUCAUAUUAUUUACUUCUGUAUACUUGUUGCCAAUAUAGAAUGGUUCCAGAUGAUUUUUAGAAUCCAUCCAAGCGUAUGUGAACGAUCUGACAACUCCCAAUAAAACUGUGUGCAUGUAAUCGAAGACGAAUCCCCAAACGAUGUCAAAUUUUGGCACGAGCAGUAAUUUCGAUGCUGUUUUAAUUCCAUAAUUAGAUGUGGUACGUUCUCCAUCCAUAAGUGAGUCCCGGAAUUCUGACUAGUGUCGGCAGAAUUCUGGGUGACUUCUUUUGACGUGGUUAUUUGAUGGGAUGAAUACCCACUUGUGACGUCCUUGUCACAGUGAUAAGGACUCCCCCCGAGCAAGACACCAUGGGCAGCUAUGUUCCCCGUUGAAUUGAUUGAUUCCUUGCAGUUGACACCGAGCUACCGAAUCGGCUGCCAGUAAGGGAAAGUAUACACGACUGUAUUUUUUCACAUCUUUGAACAUCCAAUUUACGCCAUUUCUUGAUAAUUCGAUUGCUUGUUGGAUAAAGGGUGCAAGAAAAAUAUCGAAAUUUGGUUUUUCAUCUCCAAACCACAAACCAGCAAGUAUUGUGUAUUUUCUUCGCAGUUGAUAACCCAGCUCGUUAAUGGAUAUUAGUAGAGGCCAAAUGCUGUAUUUUGAGCUAUUGAAUAUGGAGACGCCAUCCGUAUUGAUGCUGCAACUUAUGUCGUUGUCCUUCAAACCGAGCCCGUGGUACAUAUCGCCAUCUAUGAUAUCUCGUAUUUCGGACACCGCACCCAUCUGUCUUCUAGUCAAAUUUUCUGCCAAAGAUUUCUGUAUGGCUUGAAUUUGUAGUAAACCUUGUAGGGACUUUUUGAUGUCAAAGGAAACGAAAAAGUUACCCCUUGUCAAACACGUCGAGAAAGUAGUCGGAACUUGACAUUUGCCACAUUUAGAAUCGUCCUCCUUUAUUUCAACUUUGCAGUCUUUGCAGUAAGCUACCUUUUGAAUUCGGCUGUAAUCUCCUCCGACCUCUUUAUCAAAUAAAUAUGUGGACGUUGGAAUAGUAACGCCAUGAGGAACAUGGAAAUUGAUUAAGUUUAGCAAGUCUGACAGUGCUGUUUUGGUAAUUUUAUGUCGAAUUGAGUAACCCAGAAUUAAGAGAUUGCUUUCUUUCCGAGAUAUUCGUGCUCCUGUGUACAGUUCUUCAACUUCGACCUGCAAGUAAUAAUUAUUUGCAUGCCAGCAUAUUAUAAUAAAAGAAAACUUUCUAAUUGUAAAUUAAAGCUCACUUCAUGUUCGCUGAAUAAAUCACUGGAAUCGGAGUCAUCCUCAUUUGUGUCAGACGACUCGUUUCCAAAGUCCACCUCCGGUGGAAUUUCAAAUUCAGGAGGGCUAUUGUUUUCCCGUACAGUAUUCAAAUAAGCCUGUAAAAAUGAAAAUAUUUUACAAAUUGAAGAAAUUGUAUUUACAGUUAUUCAUUGAAAAAUUAAGUACCCUAGCAGUCCUCUUCCUGUGUCUUGUUCGUUGAGGAAUAUUUGAUAAGGCUGCACUUCCCGAGCACGAGAAAUAUUUUUUGUAAGAUUUUCUGCUUGACAUUUCAGCAUAUUUGUUUUCAAUAAAGCAAAUUUUGAAUAUUUCUUCCGUGAACGGGGUAAGUGUGGAAUGACGACAGCGCGGUAUACCCAAGCCACAACAUCGUGUUCUUAUUUAGCUGGCUCCUUCACUCCGUCUAUUUUUUUGAGUUGCCAAAAUUAACUAACAGAUAACUUCAAAUUUCUGUCGAAAUUAAAAAUGACCUUCCUAUUGGUAGAGUGGGUGUCACAAAAAGUUCCAAAAGAAUAUUCGGUAGUUCCGGCGGAAAGUAUUGAGGACGGAGCUAUUCGGCAAAAUGCGAAGUCUCUAAUAAACCAAAUUGUGCGUAUAAUUUGGAAAAAAGGUAAAAUUUUCCCUGCCGUAAUUUUGGAAACAGGUGAGUUUUAUCAAUUUAUUGUACAACUUUAAUUAUCGUGUCAAAUGAAAUCAUUCAUUACACCGAUUCAUUUAAUUAAUCAUAGGGGACGAUGAAAAGCAUCUCUGGGAACGGGCAGACUUCUACGGCGAAACAACAAAAGUUGGAGACAUUUCGACAAAUAAGCGAAGUCAUGAAAUUCUUGAAAUGCCCGUGAAGAAAAAGGGUAACACGUCUUGCACUUGAGUUUCUAAUCACCAUUGAACCUUAAUUAAGUGUCUAUUUCUUCCUUAGGGAAGCAAGCCCGAUUAGUAGCCGGUCGAGAACGAGCAGAUGCCAUCCAAGACGUUCUUGACUCUCUAGAAUCGGACCAAAUUAUUGACCUAAAUCCUGACACAAAUUCGUACAAACACCUAGUAUCGUUGACGAGGAAGAAGGUCGGAACUUGGGCGAAGGAACGACAAACUUCGAGGGUGAUUUAGUCAUAACUUAAACGUUUUUAUUAUUUUUAAUAUUUGCAACAUAAUUUGCAACAGAAAAGUACCAGUCCUUGAAGGAGAAGCACAAACGGCUGAAGCAGAAAUACAGAGAAUUGAAGCGCAAAUUUGAUCAAAGUGAUAAUAACAUCGAGCUUUUCGAUGGAUCAGGUGUAAGGAUCGAGUCUUCUGUGCUGGCGUCUAUGAGAGUGAUGUCACCAAAACCUACGAUACUUGCAAGAAAUCUUUUUAGACAGCUAUUCUCUGCUGAGGAGCUAUCCAACCACUCAUUGUUUGGGAAGCAAUCCAAUGCUAAUCGCGGACGGGAGACGCUCCCGGAAAUUGAUAGUGUUCGCAGAGAUGCCGUAAUAAAUUUCAUACUGAAAGACGAAGGCUUUGGUGAAGCGCCGGACACGGGUAACCCAACUGCUGACAAGGUCUUCAUAAAAGCAAGAGGACCCUAAAAAACGAGCUGCGGAAGACAUUGUCCGAAUUCCUCAGGGAGGAGAAGGCGAAGGCACGGGAUGGUAACAAUCAGUAAAAAUUCUAAUGAUUAUUGUUGUAUAUUACCCAACAAUAAAUUCGCUGAAUAAAGAUUACAAUCAAAGAUAUAACAAAAUAUUUCGUCAUAAUUCUUUAUGCAUAAAAACCAGCCAAUUGUCGUACCAAAGAUUUCGACAUAAAAAAUUAUGUACAUUGCAACCGAAACAAAUUAGUAUGCAUAACUAAUUCGACAUAACCAAAUGGAAUAAAAUAUUGUGCAUAAACUUUUUUGCAUAAAAACCAGCAAAUUCUUGCUUUAAUUCGGGCAUAAUUAUGCAAACAAAUUAUGCAUAAAAAUACAUGAAAUUUUCACCCGGGUCAUAUUUCACAAUUUUACCAAAUUUCUACUAAUAAACUUAAAUUUUAGUCUAUUUUUGAAUCCUACUUCACCCUAAUUUUUCCCCCACUUACUCCCCUGCCAUUCCCAACUUAUCACUUACCCCCUUCACUCUCUCCCACCCAC
Long non-coding RNA from Folsomia candida, 7265 nucleotides. RefSeq lists it as uncharacterized. NCBI's taxonomy places the organism in Eukaryota, Metazoa, Arthropoda, Collembola, Entomobryomorpha, Isotomidae. The record is from RefSeq and is a predicted model, not a curated record. The transcript has 3 exons.